AGGAUUAACGCUGGCGGCGUGCCUAACACAUGCAAGUCGAACGAGGUAGCAAUACCUAGUGGCAGACGGGUGAGUAGCGCGUGGUCAACCUACCGUUGAGUGGGGGAUAACUAGCCGAAAGGUUAGCUAAUACCGCAUACGUCUCCGAGGGGCAUCCCUUGGCGAUAAAAAGGAGCAAUCCGCUCGAUGACGGGACCGCGUCCCAUUAGCUAGUUGGUGGGGUAACGGCCUACCAAGGCGUCGAUGGGUAGCUGGUUUGAGAGAGCGACCAGCCACACUGGGACUGAGAUACGGCCCAGACUCCUACGGGAGGCAGCAGUGAGGAAUUUUCCGCAAUGGGCGAAAGCCUGACGGAGCGACGCCGCGUGUGGGAAGAAGGCCUUCGGGUCGCAAACCACUGUCGAAGGGGAAGAUAAUGACGGUACCCUUGGAGGAAGCCCCGGCUAACUACGUGCCAGCCAGCCGC
Molecule: ribosomal RNA, 466 nt
Filed under: uncultured bacterium
Lineage: Bacteria
Description: SSU rRNA
Rfam family: Bacterial small subunit ribosomal RNA
Source: RNAcentral